Non-coding RNA from Pogona vitticeps (central bearded dragon), 515 nucleotides. Lineage: Eukaryota; Metazoa; Chordata; Lepidosauria; Squamata; Agamidae. The record is from RefSeq and is a predicted model, not a curated record.
CCACAAGUCUCUUUGUGUGGGUUUUCUCCUCAUAACGCUUGGCAGACUGAGACUUCCACGUAUGGCAUCAGUGCUGCUGUUAAGGUGUUUCUGGCAUUCUGGGCAUUCUGCACAACCCUCCAAAGAUCCUGUGGGCACAAAGGUCGCUUCUGAUGACGAUGGUAUUUUUAUAUUUAGCACCUCACCUGAAUUUGUUGGAAGCAAAUGUUUCCAGAAUUCUUGGAGCUGUUGUCAAAAAAACAAAAAAACAAAACACAAACAAACAAACCCACAAAUGUGCAGACUUCAGGUAGAGAAGAAUUGUGCUCCUUCUUUCAUAAUACCACAACCCAGGAUCAUCCAAUGAAGCUAAAUAUGGGGAAAUGGGAAUUCUUCACACCUUGCAUCAUUAAGCUAUGGAAUUCAUUGCCACAAUAUAUAGUGAUGGCUGCUAAGAGAAGAACACAUCCUGAAUCAGACAGUGCAUCCUUGGAAUAAGUGUGAUGUGCAACAUAAACUUAAAAUUGAGUUUGAGA